Phoenix dactylifera (date palm) is the source of this 1413-nucleotide non-coding RNA. NCBI's taxonomy places the organism in Eukaryota, Viridiplantae, Streptophyta, Magnoliopsida, Arecales, Arecaceae. The record is from RefSeq and is a predicted model, not a curated record.
GUAUGUAUGCGUAUGUAUGUACGUAUGCAUGUAUGUGUAUAUAUGGAAAUGGAUUUUUGUUGGUGGCUAGUGACAUUACACCACACAACCUGGCAACAUGAGCAUUGUUAUCAAUGCUUUGUAAGGAGUACUGCAUUGUCUUUGUUGUCAUGUCCCUUUUCCCUUGCCUUUUCUUUGACACCAUCAUGGAACUUUCACAUCGCUAACUUUGUUACUGCUCAGUCCACUUGCUGCUAUAUUAAACAAUACCAGGACCCUGGGGAGGUAGAACUGUGAUGACAACUAAGCCACACCAGCAUGGUUGGGUGAAGUCUACUCAAACAAACAUGGGGGGAAACAACAGCCAAUGUCUUCCCAUUCUAGCUGUUCUUCAAAGCCAAUCAAAACACACUGUCAUGCGAAUUAGGAAACAAACCAACCCCAAGGAAAGAGCACAGACCCAACGCCCCCAUUAUAAUUGGUACCCCCAUCAGAGUCUCAUGUAAAGGCCACUUUAUCCACAGCACUACAUUCCCAUGAAAUCAGACUGCACGCCAAGAAGGACCAAAGAGAGAGAGUCCUGGCAAGGCAGCAGUCAACAUCAUGAGACUUUUUGUUCCUCCCCUUGGUGGUGAUCAGCUUUACUCAAAGAGAAGAUAUCAGCUCUCUUUCUUCAGCAAGAGGAAGACAGCAAUAAUGAGAACAAAAGGAAAGCAAACAAGAGGACUGCAGGAGAGCCAAAAGAAGACCUCAAUCCCACGACCCAUGAGAGGCCAGGUCCUGGUGAUGACUUCUUAAAGAAGAACCCUCGUGAUAUAAAAUUAACAUCAAAAUGAGCAUUUUUUCUCACUUAAAUGACCUUUUGCUACCCAGGCGGUUUCUCUACGUAUUUUGUAAAAUGUCCCGAAAUUUUUGUAAUCUAAGGUCAUAAUACUUCAAUCUGGCACUUUGGUUUAUCUCCUCUUUUUCAUCACAUCACUUACCAAGUAACUUUAAUUUUAACAUCAAGCACUACACAAGUUCAAGUACUUGAGGCCAUUAAACGAGGGGGGGAACUAGAAGUAAUGGAGGAACACAUCAUGACAGAAACAGUUGCCGACAUUCUUUAAUGUUAGAUAUGAUGAAAAUCUCUGUUAAUUAAUAGAGCGGUUUCCACAAACACUAUUCAUUACCCAUAUACUGCAUCAAAUAAAUCUGAAGCACAGAGAUUAAAUCAUUUAACUAAAACAUCAAAUAAAUUAAAAAACGUACCCAGGGGGAGAGAGAGAGAGAGAGAGAGAGAGAGAGAGCCUCUAAUGGAACAAGAUAACAUUUUUACAAGCAAAGCAAAUUUACUAGUGUACCGUAUUGGUAACUAAAACAUCAAUAGAAUCGAAGUAUCAGGAAUAGAAGAGAACCUAAGGUUCGCGUUGCUCAAUGUAUUUAAAAAGAAAA